RNAcentral lists this ribosomal RNA (355 nucleotides) under uncultured bacterium. RNAcentral's name for it is "bacterial SSU rRNA". It matches the Rfam family "Bacterial small subunit ribosomal RNA", at positions 29 to 371 of the family's 1533-position model. The record is from RNAcentral.
AACGAACGCUGGCGGCGUGGAUUAGGCAUGCAAGUCGAACGGAUAUUUAGCUUUUUCGAAUAUCAGUGGCGAAAGGGUGAGUAACACGUGGGAUACCUGCCUUAGAGUUUGGGAUAACCAGUCGAAAGAUUGGCUAAUACCGGAUACGUUCAUAUACUUUCGAGUAUGUGAGGAAAGAUGGGGACCUCUUCGGAGGCCUGUCACUCUUAGAUGGGCCCGCGGCCUAUCAGCUAGNGGUGAGGUAAUGGCUCACCAAGGCUAAGACGGUAGCUGGUCUGAGAGGAUGGUCAGCCACACUGGAACUGAGACACUGUCCAGACAUCUACGGAUGGCUGCAGUCGAGAAUCUUUCGCAA